Non-coding RNA from Sciurus carolinensis (gray squirrel), 73 nucleotides. The record is from the annotation of a RefSeq genome assembly. NCBI's taxonomy places the organism in Eukaryota, Metazoa, Chordata, Mammalia, Rodentia, Sciuridae.
GGGGAUAUAGCUCAGUUGGUAGAGUGUUUGCCUUGCAAGCAUAAGACCCUGGGUUCAACCCCCAGUACUGCCA